AUGCCAUGGCACUCCCCAUAUGCCACAGCACCCCCCAUGCCACAGCACUCCCCUAUGCCGGGUCACUCCCCUAUGCCGGGGCACUCCCCCUAUGCCGGGUCACUCCCCUAUACCACAGCACUCCCCUAUGCCGGGUCACUCCCCUAUGCCGGGGCACUCCCCCUAUGCGAGGUCACUCCCCCUAUGCCACAGCACUCCCCCUAUGCCACAGCACUCCCCUAUGCCGGGGCCCUCACCUUAUGUGCACAGGACACCAGGGAGCCAGGGCCACCAGGACCUCUCAGACCAGCAGCAACUAACUGGCAGUUCCAUCUGCAGACAUGGGGUUCUGCAAUAGUGCAUGGGGAGCGUGUAUGUGUGCUGUGUGAUUGUGUGAGUGCAUGUGGAGUGUGUGUGUGUGCCGUGUGUGUUGUGUGGGUGCAUGUGGAGAGUGUGUGUGUGCUGUGUGGUUGUGUGAGUGCAUGUGGAGUGUGUGUGUGUGCCAUGUGUGUUUUGUGGGUGCAUGUGGAGCGUGUGUGUGUGCUGUGUGGUUGUGUGAGUGCAUGUGGAGUGUGUGUGUGUGCUGUGUGGUCGUGUGAGUGCAUGUGGAGUGUGUGUGUGCUGUGUGGUCGUGUGAGUGCAUGUGGACUGUGGGUGUGUGCCGUGUGUGGUUGUGUGAGUGCACGUGGAGUGUGUGUGUGCUGUGGGUACAGGAUACAUGAAUGCAUGCACGUUGUGUGCACGGCUGUGAUGUGUGUUCACGCUGUGGGUUUAGUGUGUGCAUGCUCUGAAUGGUGUAUGUGCAUGUACGUGUGUGCAUGUGGUGUGAGCACAUGCAUGUAGUGUCUGUGUGCAUGCAUGUGCUGUGUUUGCAUUUGGCGUGUGCACAUGCUGUGGAUGGCAUGGGCCUGGGGAGGAGGCAUGCAGGCAGGCAGAGCAAGCACAGACCGGUGGAGGGUGCGCUCUGGCAGCCUUCUAAUUGCUUUUUCCCCAGAACUGGCCUUGGCACCUCCUCCACUGGCCGCCCCACAUCCUGGGACCUGGAGCCCUGGCAGCAGAGGAAAGGCGAAGGUCCCACUGGCACCCAUCCAGAGGGUCAGGAUGGGACGGGGGCUUCAGAGGCACCCAGAUUCUGCUGAAGGUGCCAGGACCCUGAAGGCAGCACAGGCGAGGGGGCUGGGGACACGGUGGGUGAGGAGUUUCCACCAGCCCAGCUCAUAAUUCAUAGAUGUGAGUUAAAAGGCCCCCUCCCUCCACACCUUGGUGUUUACAAGAGCAAGCUCUUCCUGUGGGCCUGGAAGGGGCUGCUGGCCACACACAAAAGGAGAUAAAAAUCUCUGUCGGGAAGGGAGUGCCAAUUCCUGGAAAACAGGCCAAGCUCAGAGGUCAGCUACGGACCCUGGCCUCUGUCCACCCACCUCAGCCUCCCCUUUCUUCAUGGGUUGCAGUCCCAGAACCCCUCCUGCUCCAGGCAGUUCCAGGAAGAUGGAGGUGAGGGCCUAGGAGAGGGUGGAGCAGGGUAGGCAAGCUGGGCAAAGACCCCCUGACACUAGGGACCCUGUGUGCAGUGGGUGAGAAGAGGCCAGGGGACCAGCUUUUCCCAACAAAGGCUCUGAGCUCAACCAAAGGAGAAAAAGCAGUGACACACCAAAGAGCGGUGCAGGGAAGAAGGAAGUGCCUUCAGACAGCGGGAAGUGAGCGGGGAAGGAGGAAGUGCCUUCAGACGGCGGGAAGUGAGCGGGGGAAGGAGGAAGUGCCUUCAGACAGUGGGAAGUGAGUGUGCCAGGGUCCCGAGACAAGCUUGGAGUACCAGGACCCCCAUAAAUCCAGAUUGGCACCUUGUGCCUACCUGGGUUCCCUGUUCUGUUCCUUGGUCUAUGUGCCCGUUUUUAUGCGAGUACCAUGCUGUUUCGAUUACUGUGGCCUUGCAGUGUAUUUUGAAAUCAGGUAGUGUGAUGUUUCCAGCUUUUCGUUGGUUUGUUUGUUCUGUUUUGCUGAAGGCUGCUUUGGCCAUUUGAGGUCUUUUGUGGUUCUAUAUGAAUUUUAGGAUUUUUUUUCUAUUUUCUAUUUCCGUGAAGAAUGUCACUGGUAUUUUACAUAAGAAUGUCAUUGGUCAUCUUCUAUUUCUACUUCUUCUGUUUUCUAUUUCUGUGAAGAAUGUCAUUGGUAUUUUGAUGGGUAUUGAAUCUGCAGAUCACUUUAUGUGGUAUAGAGAUUUUAGCAAUAUCAUCUCUUCCACUCUGUGAACGUGGGUUAGCUUUCCAUUUACCUGUGUUCUCUUCAGUUUCUUUCAUGAGUGUUCCAGUUUUCAGUGUGCAGAUCUUUCAUCUUUUUGGUUAAAUGUAUUCCUAAGUAUUUUAAUUUUUGUAGCUAUUGUCAAUGGAAUUUUUAAAUUUCUUUUUUGGGUAGUUAUCUGUUAGUGUAUAGAAAUGCUACUGAUUUUUGGAUGUUGAUUUCAUUUCAUUUCAUUUUGUUUUUUAGAGACAGGGUCUCACUCUGUCACCCAGGUUGGAGUCAUGGCAGCCUUAGACUCCUGGACGAGAGUGGUCCUCCUGCCUCAGCCUCCCAAGCAGCUGGGACUACGGGCACAUGCCACCACGCCCAGCUAUGCAUGUUGAUUUUGUAGUCUACGACUUUACUGAGUGUGUUUAUUAGUUCUAACAGCUUUUUACUUGAGUCUUUCAGGUUUUUUACAUAUAAGAUCACGUUGUCUGGAAACAAUGAUAAUUCACCUUCUUCCUUCCUUUCUCUUGCCUAAUUCCUCCGGCGAGGACGUCCGGUACUGUGUUAAACAGAAACACUGAAAGUGGCUGUCCUCGUCUUGUACCAGAUCUUAGAGAAAAAUCUCAACUUUUCCCCAUUUGACAUGAUAUAUAUAUAUAUAUUACAGAAAACCGCCCCUCCCCUUGAUAUAAACUUAACUAUAGAUUUGUCAUAUGUGGCCUUGGUGAGGUCGAGGUACAUUCCUUCUACCCUUAAUUUGUUGAGAGUUUUAUGAUAAAGGGAUGUUGAAUUUUGUCAAGUGCCUUUUCUACGUCUAUUGAGAUAAUGAUGUGGUUUUUGUCCCUGAUCCUGCUGAGGAGAGGCAUCACGCUGAUGGAUUUGUGAAUGUUGAGCCUUCCUCGCUUCCCUGGCAUGAUUACCACUUGAUCCUGGCGAAUGAACUUUUUAAUGUGCCGUUGAUUUGGCUUGCUAAUGUCUGGCUGAGAAUUUUCGCCUCUGUCUCCAUCAAGAACACGGGCCUGUGGUGUUGUGGUCUAGUCUGGUAUUGGACAUGCCGGCCUCGUAGUAUGAGUUUGGAAGGGCUGUCUCCUUUUCCAUUUUUGGGAAAAGUUUGAAAACACUUGAUACUGUUUCUUCUUUAAAUCUUUGGUAGAAUUCAGCAGUGAAGCCACCGGGCCUUGGGCUUUUAUUUUUGAUGGGAGACUUUAGUAGUGACUCAAUCUCGUUACUCGUUAUUAAUCUGUUCAGAUUUUCUGUUUCUUCAUAACUUAAUCUUGGUUGGCUGCGUUUGUCCAGGAAUGCAUCCGUUUCUUCUCGGUUAUCGGACUCAGUGUGUAAUCGUCCGUGUAGUCUCUCUGAUUCUUUUCGUUUCUGUUUUGUCAAGUGUAAUGCCUCCUUUUUCAUCUCUGAUUUUUGUUUAUAGUUAGUCUACCUAAAGAUUUCUCAAUUUGUUUAUAUUUUUUAAAAACCAACUCUUGAUUUCACUGGUUUUUUGGUUUUUUAGACAGGGUCUCCCUCUGUCGCCCAGACUGGAGUGCAGUGGCAUGAUCACAGCUCACUGCAACCUUCACCUCCUGGGCUCAAGCAACCCUGCCUCAGCCUCCUGAAUAGCUGGGACUACAGGUGCAUGCCACCAUGCCCGGAUAAUUUUUGUAUUUUUUGG
Molecule: long non-coding RNA, 3865 nt
Organism: Aotus nancymaae (Ma's night monkey)
Lineage: Eukaryota; Metazoa; Chordata; Mammalia; Primates; Aotidae
Source: Ensembl